CCUACGGGUGGCAGCAGUGGGGGAUAUUGCACAAUGGGGGAAACCCUGAUGCAGCGACGCCGCGUGGGUGAAGAAGCGCCUCGGCGUGUAAAGCCCUGUCAGCAGGGAAGAAAAUGACGGUACCUGUAGAAGAAGCCCCGGCUAACGACGUGCCAGCAGCCGGGGUAAUACGUAGGGGGCAAGCGUUAUCCGGAUUUACGUGGUGUAAAGGGGGCGCAGACGGCGCUGCAAGCCCGGAGUGAAAGACCCGGGCCAAACCCCGGGACUGCUCUUGAAACUGCGUGGCUAGAGUGCAGGAGGGGCAUGCGGAAUGCCUGGUGUAGCGGUGAAAUGCGUAGAUAUCAGGCAGAACACCGGUGGCGAAGGCGGCCUGCUGGACUGCAACUGACGUUGAGGCCCGAAAGCGUGGGGAGCGAACAGGAUUAGAUACCCGGGUAGUC
Molecule: ribosomal RNA, 440 nt
Filed under: uncultured bacterium
Lineage: Bacteria
Description: partial 16S ribosomal RNA
Rfam family: Bacterial small subunit ribosomal RNA
Source: RNAcentral